RNAcentral lists this ribosomal RNA (253 nucleotides) under uncultured bacterium. RNAcentral's name for it is "partial 16S ribosomal RNA". It matches the Rfam family "Bacterial small subunit ribosomal RNA", at positions 524 to 776 of the family's 1533-position model. The record is from RNAcentral.
UACGUAGGGGGCGAGCGUUGUCCGGAAUUACUGGGCGUAAAGGGCGCGCAGGCGGCCGUGUAAGUCCGCUGUGAAAGACCGGGGCUCAACCCCGGGGUGUCAGCGGGGACUGCACGGCUGGAGUCCCGGAGAGGGAGGCGGAAUACCUGGUGUAGCGGUGGAAUGCGUAGAGAUCAGGUGGAACACCGAUGGCGAAGGCAGCCUCCUGGACGGGUACUGACGCUCAUGCACGAAAGCGUGGGGAGCAAACAGG